AGUUGUGCUGGUGAAAAGGCAGAGACUGAGCUGUAGCCAGGUGGAUUUGGUUGUAAGAUUACAUGAAGGAACUGCAGUGAAAGGUUUAGUCGUUGCCUUAGGAAAGAUAAGGAAAAUUCAGGCUGGUGCACAUCACCUGGGGAACAUUCUACCAUCUUAUUGUGGAAGGCUUUGCUCUGAGGCAACAUCCCUUCAGCAGCUCAGCGUGGCCAGAAGAUGCUGGGAAUGCAGAAAAGCAGCUUUUAAUCUUCCUUGGCUGCUUGCUAGUAAAUUUGUGUUCAUCCUUCCCUUGGAAGUGUUACCACAGUCUGAGCUGCUUUGUGAGGUGCCAAGUACAAAGAAUGGAACAUGUAUAACAUUUUUCAUUAUGCCAUUUUUAGAGUAUCGGAAUCUGAAAAUGGAGGGUGGGGGCAGCUGGAUUUCUUUUGCUUGCUUGCAGUGCUGAGGCAUGAAGUAGGAAGAUGACCUGUCAGUGUGGAAUUGGAGAUAGGGAGCUCCGCACAUCUGGAAGUCAAGGCAUGGAAGUUCAGCUCUGUUUUAUAGCAAGGCAAGAAGAUCAGAGUCUUGGUGGUUUCUGGCAUUAUUGUACACAAAGGAUACAGCAUGGGGAUCUUAGCCUGUGCUUUCCAGAUAACAAGAUACUGAAGUCCAGACCUUCUUCUGCCUGUCUUCACACAGCACUGAGCCCAAUGGUAUGAGCAGACGUUCAAGCUGGUCAGGCAGAGCAGCUGCUUGCAAAUACUCUAAGAUGUCAGUGUCAAAGGGGAUUGCGCUCAUCUAGGUAGAGCAACAGGUGCAUCUUUGGGGAAAAAUAGUAUGAACUGGCAACUGUGGGAUUUGGUGAACAAGUCAGUACAGUUCUUGGCCAGGUGUAAUUCAAACAAUAAAACUACUUCUGUUUAAACUUUCCUAGUCAAAUUAGUGAUGCGUACUCCUUGCUGUCCCUUCCUGUUAGUUAGAGGACUGAAGAACAUACAUAGCCUCUGCUGGCCUUUUGAGAGCUCUGUUACUAACCUCUGGUGAACGAGUGAGGACAACAGCAGUGUCAAUGGCCCUAUGUCACUUCUUGGGGGUGGUAUGUUGAGCAGCGCCAUAAUCCAUGAAAGAAGGAACUCCAUAUUCACCAGACUGAGUGAAACAUCUUAUUUGAAAUUUGAAGUGAAAUAAUCUGUUUAAUAGUAUGUUAAUUCCCAUCACUGCUUUAAAACCAAAUGAAGGAAACAAUAAUAAUUUUGUUCUGCUUCUUCUGUUCCUACAGCUUAAGGUUGUGACUGCAAGGAAAGCACAACCACAGAAAGGCAUGACAAUGUGUUAUGUUACCGUGUUAUAGGGAACUUUAUUUGUGGCUCAUGGAGAGAUAGGCUGGCAGGAGGAUUGUGGGCGUGCUGGAUAUAGUGCUCACUGGGAGAGAGGCUGCACUCCUACACAAGGGCUGCAUCUUUGGUUCACUAACAUUAGACACUGUUCUCUUGUCAGUUGGGCAUGCAUUACAGCAACUGACUGCUAUGGAAGUGUGGGAAGAGUAAUACUUGCCUUCCAUGUGACACUUCUGGUUUGAUGAUGGAGAAUAAGGUACCUGCAAAUCAUAAC
This is a long non-coding RNA of Phasianus colchicus (ring-necked pheasant), 1590 nucleotides long. RefSeq lists it as uncharacterized. Lineage: Eukaryota; Metazoa; Chordata; Aves; Galliformes; Phasianidae. The record is from RefSeq and is a predicted model, not a curated record.